Molecule: non-coding RNA, 596 nt
Organism: Paramuricea clavata
Lineage: Eukaryota; Metazoa; Cnidaria; Anthozoa; Malacalcyonacea; Plexauridae
Source: the annotation of a GenBank genome assembly
UUCAAAUCUACCCUUAUGUACCCAGAAUAGUAUUAGGCGUGCGCGUCUCAGGAAUCAUUUUUGAGUUUAACAGCUUUCAAAACAAACGAAAAAUUAUUAUGUUUUACAGAUAUUGUGAAGCGUAUUGACAGUUAAAACAUCCAUUAAUUAUUCGUUAAUAAAACAUCCUUCAACACGCAGUGGAAUGUAUUAUAUUAAUCCGCAAGGACUCAGUUCAUCGCCAUUGGUUCAAGUAUAUUGUGAUAUGACGUCAAAGAAUGGUGUUGGUGUGACAGGGAUUGGACAUGACAGUGGAUCAAGAGAACUUGUGAAGGGAUAUAAUCCCGCAGGUUCUUACAGACGAAAGAUUAAAUAUCGUAAUUUCGAUGGAGCAGAUCCUUGCCAUUAUGAAGCAGUCCAAGAAUUGUGAGCAGUUUAUAAAAUAUGAAUGUUAUGGUAGCGGUAUGUGGUUCUCUACACCUUAUGGUUGGUGGGUAUCACGUCAAGGUACAAAGAUGAAGUACUGGGGUGGAGCGGCAGUCAACAGUGGAAAAUGUGCAUGUGGAAUGACCAACAGCUGUGCAGGUGGAGGAAAAUGUAAUUGUGACAAGAAUGAC